This 243-nucleotide ribosomal RNA is filed under the name uncultured bacterium. RNAcentral's name for it is "partial 16S ribosomal RNA". It matches the Rfam family "Bacterial small subunit ribosomal RNA", at positions 15 to 249 of the family's 1533-position model. The record is from RNAcentral.
GAUCCUGGCUCAGGAUGAACGCUAGCUACAGGCUUAACACAUGCAAGUCGAGGGGCAGCAUGAACUUAGCUUGCUAAGUUUGAUGGCGACCGGCGCACGGGUGAGUAACACGUAUCCAACCUGCCGAUGACUCGGGGAUAGCCUUUCGAAAGAAAGAUUAAUACCCGAUGGCAUAGUUCUUCCGCAUGGUAGAACUAUUAAAGAAUUUCGGUCAUCGAGUGGGGAUGCGUUCCAUUAGGUUGG